RNAcentral lists this ribosomal RNA (301 nucleotides) under uncultured bacterium. Its description in RNAcentral is "partial 16S ribosomal RNA". It matches the Rfam family "Bacterial small subunit ribosomal RNA", at positions 509 to 809 of the family's 1533-position model. The record is from RNAcentral.
CAGUAGCCGCGGUAAUACGUAGGGUGCAAGCGUUAAUCGGAAUUACUGGGCGUAAAGCGUGCGCAGGCGGUUAUAUAAGACAGAUGUGAAAUCCCCGGGCUCAACCUGGGAACUGCAUUUGUGACUGUAUAGCUAGAGUACGGCAGAGGGGGAUGGAAUUCCGCGUGUAGCAGUGAAAUGCGUAGAUAUGCGGAGGAACACCGAUGGCGAAGGCAAUCCCCUGGGCCUGUACUGACGCUCAUGCACGAAAGCGUGGGGAGCAAACAGGAUUAGAUACCCGCGUAGUCCUAUCUCUUAUACA